This 270-nucleotide ribosomal RNA is filed under the name uncultured bacterium. Its description in RNAcentral is "partial 16S ribosomal RNA". It matches the Rfam family "Bacterial small subunit ribosomal RNA", at positions 88 to 354 of the family's 1533-position model. The record is from RNAcentral.
CCGGCGACCGGCGCACGGGUGAGUAACACGUAUGCAACCUGGCCGUGACAGAUGGAUAACCGGGAGAAAUCCCGCCUAAUGCAACAUAAUGCCGGGAGGGGACAUCCCCUGCCAGCCAAAGGGGGCGACCCCGGUCACGGAUGGGCAUGCGGCGCAUUAGGUAGUUGGUGGGGCAACGGCCCACCAAGCCGACGAUGCGUAGGGGUUCUGAGAGGAAGGUCCCCCACAUUGGAACUGAGACACGGUCCAAACUCCUACGGGAGGCAGCAG